This 524-nucleotide ribosomal RNA is filed under the name uncultured bacterium. RNAcentral's name for it is "partial 16S ribosomal RNA". It matches the Rfam family "Bacterial small subunit ribosomal RNA", at positions 28 to 523 of the family's 1533-position model. The record is from RNAcentral.
GACGAACGCUGGCGGCGUGCCUAAUACAUGCAAGUCGAGCGCUUCUUUUCUACCGAGUGCUUGCACUCAUUUGAAAAGAGGAGUGGCGGACGGGUGAGUAACACGUGGGUAACCUGCCCAUCAGAAGGGGAUAACACUUGGAAACAGGUGCUAAUACCGUAUAACUGUCGACACCGCAUGGUGUUGAUUUGAAAGACGCUUUCGGGUGUCACUGAUGGAUGGACCCGCGGUGCAUUAGCUAGUUGGUGAGGUAACGGCUCACCAAGGCGAUGAUGCAUAGCCGACCUGAGAGGGUGAUCGGCCACACUGGGACUGAGACACGGCCCAGACUCCUACGGGAGGCAGCAGUAGGGAAUCUUCGGCAAUGGACGAAAGUCUGACCGAGCAACGCCGCGUGAGUGAAGAAGGUUUUCGGAUCGUAAAACUCUGUUGUUAGAGAAGAACAAGUAGGAGAGUAACUGCUCUUACCUUGACGGUAUCUAACCAGAAAGCCACGGCUAACUACGUGCCAGCAGCCGCAGUAA